This is a non-coding RNA of Equus caballus (horse), 141 nucleotides long. The record is from RefSeq and is marked provisional. Lineage: Eukaryota; Metazoa; Chordata; Mammalia; Perissodactyla; Equidae.
UGCAGGUUUUCCUACCAGAGCUACUCGGCGGUGCUUGAAGAGAGGUCUUCCAUGAUGCAUUCGCUUUAUUUUUCGACGAAUCAUACAUGGUUGACCUUUUUUUAAGUAUCAAAUCUGGCCUUAAAGCACCCUGGGACGAGG